This 325-nucleotide ribosomal RNA is filed under the name uncultured eukaryote. RNAcentral describes it as "partial 18S ribosomal RNA". It matches the Rfam family "Eukaryotic small subunit ribosomal RNA", at positions 1470 to 1796 of the family's 1831-position model. The record is from RNAcentral.
CCCUUAGAUGUUCUGGGCCGCACGCGCGCUACACUGAUGCAUUCAACGAGCCUAUCCUUGACCGACAGGUCCGGGUAAUCUUUGAAUCUGCAUCGUGACGGGGAUAGAUUAUUGCAAUUAUUAAUCUUCAACGAGGAAUGCCGAGUAGGCGCAAGUCAUCAGCUUGCGUCGAUUACGUCCCUGCCCUUUGUACACACCGCCCGUCGCUCCUACCGAUUGGGUGUGCUGGUGAAAUGUUCGGAUCGGCCGUUUGUCGCGGUUUCCGCGUCAUGUGGCUGAGAAGUUCAUUAAACCCUCCCACCUAGAGGAAGGAGAAGUCGUAACA